GGGUCGAUGCCCGAGAGGUUAAUGGGGACGGACUGUAAAUUCGUUGGCGAUAUGUCUACGCCGGUUCAAAUCCGGCUCGACCCA
RNAcentral lists this transfer RNA (84 nucleotides) under Campylosiphon championii. RNAcentral describes it as "Burmannia championii tRNA-Tyr". It matches the Rfam family "tRNA". From Rfam's summary of the family: Transfer RNA (tRNA) molecules are approximately 80 nucleotides in length. Their secondary structure includes four short double-helical elements and three loops (D, anti-codon, and T loops). The record is from RNAcentral. Lineage: Eukaryota; Viridiplantae; Streptophyta; Magnoliopsida; Dioscoreales; Burmanniaceae.